GAAAACCCAACCUAGUGGGCUGUGAGUGUGGCUGCGUUCCAUUCCACUUGUGGUCAGGGCUGACACAGCUGGCUCUGCGGCCACUUAGGAACAGAGAGGCAUGGACAGUUUUAGUCUGUGGGCCUGGCCUCAGUACUGGAUAACUGAAGAGAAAUGCUCCUAACUCUGAUGAAUGUCAAGUAACGGGGCUGCACUGUUCACACUGGCUCAGGGGCUUGUCUGUUCUGCCCUCCGUCGUCCUUAAAUGAACUCCUGUGACUAAUUCCUAUCAGUUUGGUGCUAGGAAACAGAAAGAAGAUUCAAGGAGCUCCAAGGAGUCUAAUUCUUGGUUGCUAGGAGCCUUCAACACUGUCUGGAUGCCAAGGACAUCUGCUAGUCCCAGGAGUGGCUUAGAUACAUUGCCCUUGGAAAGCAGCACCUGUGUCCCUAAGGUUCCCCGUUUAUGGUCAAGCCACUGAGCUGGGAAGUGAAAAGUCUUAGCACCUGACAGGAUGCCUGUGACAAGGACAGAACAGAAUCACUCAGGGUGAAGAACCAGCUCUCUGUAGCGGUUGAUCACAGAGUCACCCUGAUUUUGCAAGGAAUGCAAGAUCUCCACCUUUCACUUCCAGACUGGUCUCCCCAGGCCUUACCCCCAAAAGGAAACCCAGAGUGUCCUAAAACAUAGUGCUUUACUGACUGAAUGGCAACAGCUCUGUGAGCUACAAAGUAGAUGUGAGGGCUGGACUUGGUAAAUAGGUGACCUUGGGGAUGGAGGCUAUGACCUUGAACUAUGACCUUGGGGAUGGAGGCCCUAGUAGAGCAACUUGAGGAGCAGAACUUGGACUCUGACUCCACAGAGUGCUAACCCAGCCUCGCAUUAUCUUUCUCUACACUUCCAGGUCACCUGACCUCUCCGAGACUCAGCUUCCGCAAGCGGAAUUUAAGGACAAUUUCUGACCCAUAGAUGGUUGUUAGGGUGACCGUGAUACUAAGCAUCAUUACUUAUAAUAGCAAGACACGGAACCAUUGACAGACAACUGGAGAAUAGACACUCAAUGGAAUACUACUCAGUUAUUAAGGAAGAUGAAAUAGUGCCUUUGGGAACAAAAUGGAUGGAUCUUCAGGUGAUUAUGCUACGUGAACUAAGCCAGAACUGAAAGACAUUUACUGGAAUAUGAAUAACCAAAGAGAACAAACAGGUAAAACAACAAGAAUAAUUCCUAGACCAUGAAUAACAUACUGGUUCCAGAAGGAGCUGGUGGGGGAAGAUCAGAGGCUAGGGGAGGGAAGGUAGUAACUCAAUGAAACUUUAAAAAAGGAACUGCAUUAGAUAAAUGGUAUUAUCAAUAAUGUCAUUUAAAUUGUUCCCAUGAUUUGUGGAAAACAAGAAUAAAAAUUGACCUUGGGGACUGUCAAUAAAAUUUUAAGAUC
Molecule: long non-coding RNA, 1413 nt
Organism: Talpa occidentalis (Iberian mole)
Lineage: Eukaryota; Metazoa; Chordata; Mammalia; Eulipotyphla; Talpidae
Exons: 5
Source: RefSeq, a predicted model, not a curated record